GGCUUCCUGCAGCGCUGGACGGUCGGCUACGGCUACCGGCCGUGGCUGGCCAUCGCCUGGCUGACCGCGUUCUGGCUGGUGGGGUCGCUG
Molecule: transfer RNA, 90 nt
Filed under: Saccharothrix coeruleofusca
Lineage: Bacteria; Bacillati; Actinomycetota; Actinomycetes; Pseudonocardiales; Pseudonocardiaceae
Description: tRNA-Gly
Source: RNAcentral